UACGUAGGGGGCGAGCGUUGUCCGGAAUCAUUGGGCGUAAAGCGCGUGUAGGCGGUUCGGUAAGUCCGCUGUGAAAGUCGGGGGCUCAACCCUCGGAUGCCGGUGGAUACUGUCGGGCUUGAGGUACGGAAGAGGCGAGUGGAAUUCCUGGUGUAGCGGUGAAAUGCGCAGAUAUCAAGGAGGAACACCAAUUGCGAAGGCAGCUCGCUGGGACGUUACUGACGCUGAGACGCGAAAGCGUGGGGAGCAAACAGG
This 255-nucleotide ribosomal RNA is filed under the name uncultured bacterium. RNAcentral describes it as "partial 16S ribosomal RNA". It matches the Rfam family "Bacterial small subunit ribosomal RNA", at positions 524 to 776 of the family's 1533-position model. The record is from RNAcentral.